GAGACACGGCCCAGACUCCUACGGGAGGCAGCAGUGGGGAAUUUUCCGCAAUGGGCGCAAGCCUGACGGAGCAACGCCGCGUGUGGGAUGAAGGCCUGUGGGUUGUAAACCACUUUUCUCAGGGACGAACACAAUGACGGUACCUGAGGAAUCAGCCUCGGCUAACUCUGUGCCAGCAGCCGCGGUAAGACAGAGGAGGCAAGCGUUAUCCGGAAUUAUUGGGCGUAAAGCGUCCGUAGGUGGUCUAGCAAGUCUGGGGUUAAAGCCCGGAGCCCAACUCCGGAUCGGCCUUGGAAACUGCCAGACUCGAGUAAGGUAGGGGUUGCGGGAAUUCCCGGUGUAGCGGUAAAAUGCGUAGAUAUCGGGAAGAACACCAGCGGCGAAAGCGCGCAACUGGGCCAUUACUGACACUGAGGGACGAAAGCUAGGGGAGCGAGUGGGAUUAGAUACCCCAGUAGUCCUAGCCGUAAACGAUGGUGACUAGAUGUGGCUCGUAUUGACCCGAGCCGUGUCGUAGCUAACGCGAUAAGUCACCCGCCUGGGGAGUACGCACGCAAGUGUGAAACUCAAAGGAAUUGACGGGGGCCCGCACAAGCGGUGGAGCAUGUGGAUUAAUUCGAUGCAACGCGAAGAACCUUACCAGGGCUUGACAUCCUGCGAACCCCGCUGAAAGGUGGGGGUGCCUUCGGGAGCGCAGAGACAGGUGGUGCAUGGCUGUCGUCAGCUCGUGUCGUGAGAUGUUGGGUUAAGUCCCGCAACGAGCGCAACCCGCGUCCUUAGUUGCCAGCAUUUAGUUGGGCACUCUGGGGAGACUGCCGGUGACAAGCCGGAGGAAGGUGCGGAUGACGUCAAGUCAGCAUGCCCCUUACCGCCCUGGGCGUCACACGUGCUACAAUGGCCAGCACAAAGGGUAGCC
RNAcentral lists this ribosomal RNA (916 nucleotides) under uncultured Cyanophyceae cyanobacterium. Its description in RNAcentral is "bacterial SSU rRNA". It matches the Rfam family "Bacterial small subunit ribosomal RNA", at positions 321 to 1251 of the family's 1533-position model. The record is from RNAcentral. Lineage: Bacteria; Bacillati; Cyanobacteriota; Cyanophyceae.